AUGCCCUAGUAACGGCGAGUGAAGCGGCAACAGCUCAAAUUUGAAAUCUGGCCCUCGGGUCCGAGUUGUAAUUUGUAGAGGAUGAUUUUGGUUAGGUACCUUCCGAGUUCCUUGGAACAGGACGCCUUAGAGGGUGAGAGCCCCGUACGGUUGGAUGCCGAGCCUCUGUAAAUCUCCUUCGACGAGUCGAGUAGUUUGGGAAUGCUGCUCUAAAUGGGAGGUAAAUUUCUUCUAAAGCUAAAUACCGGCCAGAGACCGAUAGCGCACAAGUAGAGUGAUCGAAAGAUGAAAAGCACUUUGAAAAGAGGGUUAAAUAGUACGUGAAAUUGUUGAAAGGGAAGGGCUUGUGACCAGACCUUUGCCUUGCGGAUCAUCCGGUGUUCUCACCGGUGCACUCCGCUUGGUUGAGGCCAGCAUCAGUUUCGGCGGCGGGAUAAAGACUUCAGGAACGUGACUCCCCCGGGAGUGUUAUAGCCUGCUGUGUAAUACCGCCGCUGGGACUGAGGACCGCGCUUCGGCUAGGAUGCUGGCAUAAUGGUCAUCAGCCACCCGUCUUGAAACACGGACCAAGGAGUCGAACAUUUAUGCGAGUUUUUGGGUGUUAAACCCUCAAGCGUAAUGAAAGUGAACGGAGGUGAGAGCCCUUACGGGUGCAUCAUCGACCGAUCCUGAUGUCUUCGGAUGGAUUUGAGUAAGAGCAUAACUGUUCGGACCCGAAAGAUGGUGAACUAUGCGUGGAUAGGGUGAAGCCAGAGGAAACUCUGGUGGAGGCUCGCAGCGGUUCUGACGUGCAAAUCGAUCGUCAAAUCUGCGCAUGGGGCGAAAGACUAAUCG
Molecule: ribosomal RNA, 834 nt
Filed under: Microdochium seminicola
Lineage: Eukaryota; Fungi; Ascomycota; Sordariomycetes; Xylariales; Microdochiaceae
Description: eukaryotic LSU rRNA
Rfam family: Eukaryotic large subunit ribosomal RNA
Source: RNAcentral